AAAAAAAAGCUUUUCCGCAGUCAUCUUUCCCCCAAGUUUUCCCCACGCCGGCGGUCAGAACCAGAGGAGCCCUCCUCGGGCCGGCGCCUCCCCACGCCGACGGUCAGAACCAAGGAGAGGCUCGCCGGCCUCCCCCGCCGCCGCCAUCAAGGCCCGGAAGCAAUCGCCCGCUCAGCCGAUUUACUGGUCCAGGUCACCUCCGCCGCUGUCACGGCGGGCAGGGCUCCCGUCCAGUCUCCGUCAUGGCCGCCGCCACCUCCGACGCUCCCCGGCCACAGGUGCGCAUUAACUCGCCUGUUGAUUGACCUUCCCGCUACCACCCUAUUGCCGCCGCUAUCCUUUCGCCUCCACGACGUAUGCUCUGCCGGCCACAAGUGCCCGUGAAAAACUGAAACGGCCCAAGGCACUACAGCAUUCAUGGCCUCUAUAGAUCGCCCUCCAUUACCCUACAAAUGCGGAAAAAUUGUUGCUGCAUUCGCGUUUAAAAACCAGUCUAUGCUGCCAUCGUCAUCCACUCUGGACCGUCCUCUACUCUGGAAGUUGUACUGCCCCUAAUAUUAGCCACACUGAUUUUUACCACCUCUAAGCUUAUUUUAAUGAUUUUCUCAGAUUGCAGGUUGGGUCGAAAGGUGCUCGAUGAUUCGCUUCAUAGGACUACUGCUGCUCGGAUUGAUUUCGUUGUUACACAGGUCUUUUGCUAAUCCCGUUUGUCCAGAUUGUUCUUUGCUGCGACUUGCAUAUGCAAAACUCAUACAGUGCUAAUAUGGAAUAUCAGGCUUUCACGUUUCAUAGUACUUCUUAUUUCUUCUUCUCAACACAACUUCUCUCAUCCGAGAAAAAAUCACGGAUGAUUGGUUCCCAUAUUAUUUUCUGUUUUGUGUGUGUUUAUUGUACAUUUGAUUAUAUCCAUUUCUAAUAGGGAUAAUAUGUUGAUGCUAGAGCUUAAACUCUAAAAUCGUAAAAGGGCGGUGUGUUCAGGAUGUGGUUGAGAGAAUAGUAGUUGGCAGAUACUGGAUUACCUGACCAGAAAGAGUAUCAUGGAAUUGGAUACGGACUUCCCUCAGGUUUUUGCAAUUUAGAUUAGCAAAUCACUUUUACUAUGUACGAAACUGAUCUGUUUCUUCUCAUUUAGGAUAGACGCAGUAAAAAAGAUGUCGUCAUUAUUCUUAUUUUCCUUUGUUACUGAAGAUUAUUCCGUACACAGACACACACACACACACACGCAACUGUGAAGGUAUAUGUGUUUUUUGUUUUUGGACAAGUCAUAUACAUGUUUGACUGGUAAUCAUGAUGCCUUGCUUCCUUUCUUUGCUGAAAUUUUACAACAAUGCCUCUACUAACCUCAUUUCAAUUGAUGAGUACAGACCUUCUGUUUGUUUUUGUGUGUGUUAAAUGGCAUAGGAAUUUCUCCCCUGGAGCUUUCCAGUUCAGAGAACUGAAUUUGACACUCCAAAUCAUAAUACAACAUUCAACAUUACUACGCAAGGGAACUUCAGAAAAUAUUUUCCUGUCCCUGGUAGAAACAGAACUGAAGAUUACACCCUUCAGGUUAGGUAUGGACACUUCAAAUCAGUAGACACCUUUUUUUCUUUCUGGUAUUGCUUCCAAAAUCAUGAUUACGUUCAUAUCACAAAACAGUCAAAAUGCUAAGCUAAAUUGUACUACAACAACAGCCUAUCUACAACUACAGCCAGCAGCUACAACAGCUGAGCGCACAUCACAUGGGCCUAGCCAAGUACGUUUACAUUGCAAGACAGUCUCGACGACAUUGACAGAGCAAAAUUUGUUGUAUUUUUCCCAUCAAUUGUUUUGUUCUGUGGUUGUUCUGAUGCUGAACAUAAAAUAAAUGUAUGCUUGCUGCUCAUUAUCAGGCUAUGAGGCAGACAAAGCAACUACAAAAGAAUGUAUCCUAGCUACCUUCACCAAUAUGUUGCAGCAGCAAGUCAAGCCACAGAAAAUAUAUGAAUGAUUGCUGUUAAUUUCAUUGGAAUGCAGGAAUGGCUGACCGAGAGCAGUGUGCACAUCUCUGAGGCCAAACGAGGUGUUGGAGUCGAGGAUUUGACACAAUUUGGAUCGAAUUACUGCUAUCUAUCCAACCGAUCUUUCUCUCCUCGGCUCUUGGUAGUUCGUCCCUGAGAUUGGUUUUCUAUGCCUAAGAAAGUGGAAUGGAGGGAGUAAUGCCUUGAGGUCUUAUUUAUUAUAAUUAUAGUCAAUGUAGUUCCAUUUUCAUAUUGUAGAGAUGAUAUUCGUUGUGUUACCUUGGGCCUGUAGGGUAUGUCAACCGGCUUUACCUAUGGAACACUUAGUUUAUUCCCAGUACUUUAUCAGCAAUCAUUUUUGUUAAAAGUAACUGUAUGCCACCACAGUGGCAAGAGUUAAUUCUCUUAAUAGGAUACUCUUGCAUUGCUAUGAACUUGGCCUCGGAUCAGAUUUUAUUGAACAAUAUUGCAUUUUAUUGUUAGCA
Molecule: long non-coding RNA, 2464 nt
Filed under: Triticum aestivum (bread wheat)
Lineage: Eukaryota; Viridiplantae; Streptophyta; Magnoliopsida; Poales; Poaceae
Description: long non-coding RNA (TAES_LNC020388)
Source: RNAcentral